GACGUAGGGCGCAAGCGUUAUCCGGAAUUAUUGGGCGUAAAGAGCUCGUAGGCGGUUUGUCGCGUCUGCCGUGAAAGUCCGGGGCUCAACUCCGGAUCUGCGGUGGGUACGGGCAGACUAGAGUGCAGUAGGGGAGACUGGAAUUCCUGGUGUAGCGGUGAAAUGCGCAGAUAUCAGGAGGAACACCGAUGGCGAAGGCAGGUCUCUGGGCUGUAACUGACGCUGAGGAGCGAAAGCAUGGGGAGCGAACAGG
This 253-nucleotide ribosomal RNA is filed under the name uncultured bacterium. RNAcentral describes it as "partial 16S ribosomal RNA". It matches the Rfam family "Bacterial small subunit ribosomal RNA", at positions 524 to 776 of the family's 1533-position model. The record is from RNAcentral.